AACGAACGCUGGCGGCAGGCUUAACACAUGCAAGUCGAGCGCCCCGCAAGGGGAGCGGCAGGCGGGUGAGUAACGCGUGGGAACGUACCUUUUGGUUCGGAACAACUCCGGGAAACUGGAGCUAAUACCGGAUAAGCCCUAACGGGGAAAGAUUUAUCGCCGAAAGAUCGGCCCGCGUCUGAUUAGCUAGUUGGUGAGGUAACGGCUCACCAAGGCGACGAUCAGUAGCUGGUCUGAGAGGAUGAUCAGCCACACUGGGACUGAGACACGGCCCAGACUCCCACGGGAGGCAGCAGUGGGGAAUAUUGGACAAUGGGCGCAAGCCUGAGCCAGCCAUGCCGCGUGAGUGAUGAAGGCCUUAGGGUUGUAAAGCUCUUUUGUCCGGGAAGAUAAUGACUGUACCGGAAGAAUAAGCCCCGGCUAACUUCGUG
Molecule: ribosomal RNA, 431 nt
Filed under: uncultured bacterium
Lineage: Bacteria
Description: partial 16S ribosomal RNA
Rfam family: Bacterial small subunit ribosomal RNA
Source: RNAcentral